AGGGACUUAGGGACUAAAAUUUAAAACCGGUAGCCUUCAACGCUACAAAUAAGGGAAUCAACCCUUAGCCCCUG
Molecule: transfer RNA, 74 nt
Filed under: Trapelus flavimaculatus
Lineage: Eukaryota; Metazoa; Chordata; Lepidosauria; Squamata; Agamidae
Description: tRNA-Trp
Source: RNAcentral